Molecule: ribosomal RNA, 514 nt
Filed under: uncultured bacterium
Lineage: Bacteria
Description: partial 16S ribosomal RNA
Rfam family: Bacterial small subunit ribosomal RNA
Source: RNAcentral
GAUGAACGCUGGCGGCGUGCCUAAUACAUGCAAGUCGAGCGAACAGACGAGAAGCUUGCUUCUCUGAUGUUAGCGGCGAACGGGUGAGUAACACGUGGGUAACCUACCUAUAAGACUGGGAUAACUCCGGGAAACCGGGGCUAAUACCGGAUAAUAUUUUGAACCGCAUGGUUCGAUAGUUAAAGACGGUUUCGGCUGUCACUUAUAGAUGGACCCGCGCCGUAUUAGCUAGUUGGUAAGGUAACGGCUUACCAAGGCGACGAUACGUAGCCGACCUGAGAGGGUGAUCGGCCACACUGGAACUGAGACACGGUCCAGACUCCUACGGGAGGCAGCAGUAGGGAAUCUUCCGCAAUGGGCGAAAGCCUGACGGAGCAACGCCGCGUGAGUGAUGAAGGUCUUCGGAUCGUAAAACUCUGUUGUUAGGGAAGAACAAAUUUGUUAGUAACUGAACAAGUCUUGACGGUACCUAACCAGAAAGCCACGGCUAACUACGUGCCAGCAGCCGCGGUAA